This 396-nucleotide ribosomal RNA is filed under the name uncultured bacterium. RNAcentral's name for it is "partial 16S ribosomal RNA". It matches the Rfam family "Bacterial small subunit ribosomal RNA", at positions 338 to 730 of the family's 1533-position model. The record is from RNAcentral.
CCUACGGGAGGCAGCAGUGAGGAAUAUUGGUCAAUGGGCGCAAGCCUGAACCAGCCAUGCCGCGUGCGGGAUGACGGCUCUAUGGGUUGUAAACUGCUUUUGUACGAGGGUAAAAGCCGCUACGCGUAUAUGUCUGCAAGUACCGUACGAAUAAGGACCGGCUAAUUCCGUGCCAGCAGCCGCGGUAAUACGGAGGGUUCGAGCGUUAUCCGGAUUUAUUGGGUUUAAAGGGAGCGUAGGCGGGGGGGUAAGUCAGCGGUGAAAUGCCGCGGCUCAACCGGGCGAAGUGCAAUUGAUACUGGCCUGCUGGAAUGCGGAAGCGGGAGGAGGAAUGUGUGGUGUAGCGGUGAAAUGCAUAGAUAUCACGCAGAACACCGAUUGCGAAGGCAGCCCACG